CGGGUACUUGUACCUGGUGGCGAGCGGCGGACGGGUGAGUAAUGCCUAGGAAUCUGCCUGGUAGUGGGGGAUAACGCUCGGAAACGGACGCUAAUACCGCAUACGUCCUACGGGAGAAAGCAGGGGACCUUCGGGCCUUGCGCUAUCAGAUGAGCCUAGGUCGGAUUAGCUAGUUGGUGAGGUAAUGGCUCACCGAGGCGACGAUCCGUAACUGGUCUGAGAGGAUGAUCAGUCACACUGGAACUGAGACACGGUCCAGACUCCUACGGGAGGCAGCAGUGGGGAAUAUUGGACAAUGGGCGAAAGCCUGAUCCAGCCAUGCCGCGUGUGUGAAGAAGGUCUUCGGAUUGUAAAGCACUUUAAGUUGGGAGGAAGGGCAGUUACCUAAUACGUGAUUGUUUUGACGUUACCGACAGAAUAAGCACCGGCUAACUC
Molecule: ribosomal RNA, 435 nt
Filed under: Pseudomonas sp.
Lineage: Bacteria; Pseudomonadati; Pseudomonadota; Gammaproteobacteria; Pseudomonadales; Pseudomonadaceae
Description: bacterial SSU rRNA
Rfam family: Bacterial small subunit ribosomal RNA
Source: RNAcentral